Lotus japonicus is the source of this 402-nucleotide long non-coding RNA. RefSeq lists it as uncharacterized. Lineage: Eukaryota; Viridiplantae; Streptophyta; Magnoliopsida; Fabales; Fabaceae. The transcript is spliced from 3 exons. The record is from RefSeq and is a predicted model, not a curated record.
UUGUGGCUGAUUUCGUGGGGAGCAAGGGGGGAGGAGAUUUCCGCGAAAACUUGACCAAUCUUCGUGCAGUUCGUCCCUACUUCUAGGUAUCGAGGUUCGCAAUUUCCAUGCCCAACUUCUACUCACGAAGGCGAUGGAGAUCCUUCCGCCGAUGCAUAGCUACUCGAGUUGGAGAUCGAGUUGUAAGCGGUGGAGUAGAGGUAUGAGAAGCAGCUUUGCUUCUCUUCUUGUGGAUUAUGUUGGAGUCUCUUUCACUUUAUGAGAACUCUGUUAUUAAAGUCUUGCUUCCGCCACUGUUAAAGUGCGCAUGUUUAUUCUGAACCUUACUUAUGGUAUUGUAAACUAUUAUUACUGUAUAUCGGGAAACAAGUUAUCUAAAUAAAGUUAUGGUAUGUUUCCAAC